UUUACUGGAUAUAGUUUUACAUCAAAAUUUAUUACUUUAUCUUUCUAGGUUUAUCAUAAACCCUAAUCUUAACACUCAACCAUAAUCAGGCUUAAUUUGGAACAAGAAGUUGGAAAUUAGGGGAAGGUUAAGAAGGAAAAAGAACACAAGAAGAAAGGUAUUGGUAAAAGAAUAUUUACAAAUACAUAUGAAAGACUGAGGGAAAGGGGACCAUGGUGGUAUUAGGUCUCUGGGACAGGGAUAAAAGGAGACAGUGGGUGGGCAAGGUCCCUGCGAUAGCUGUACCCACCACCCCGCCCCAGGAGUUCCACUGGCUCAGGACUUCUGGGUCAUCUUUG
Long non-coding RNA from Sapajus apella (tufted capuchin), 338 nucleotides. RefSeq lists it as uncharacterized. The record is from RefSeq and is a predicted model, not a curated record. Lineage: Eukaryota; Metazoa; Chordata; Mammalia; Primates; Cebidae. The transcript is spliced from 2 exons.